This 253-nucleotide ribosomal RNA is filed under the name uncultured bacterium. Its description in RNAcentral is "partial 16S ribosomal RNA". It matches the Rfam family "Bacterial small subunit ribosomal RNA", at positions 524 to 776 of the family's 1533-position model. The record is from RNAcentral.
UACGGGGGGGGCAAGCGUUGUUCGGAAUUAUUGGGCGUAAAGGGUUCGUAGGUGGCCGGCUAAGUCAGACGUGAAAUCCCUCAGCUUAACUGGGGAACUGCGUCUGAGACUGGUCGGCUUGAGUGCAGGAGAGGAACGCGGAAUUCCAGGUGUAGCGGUGAAAUGCGUAGAUAUCUGGAGGAAUACCGGUGGCGAAGGCGGCAUCCUGGACCGACAUUGACGCUGAGGAGCGAAAGCUAGGGGAGCAAACGGG